AUUGAACGCUGGCGGCAGGCCUAACACAUGCAAGUCGAGCGGUAGAGAGAAGCUUGCUUCUCUUGAGAGCGGCGGACGGGUGAGUAAUGCCUAGGAAUCUGCCUGGUAGUGGGGGAUAACGUUCGGAAACGGACGCUAAUACCGCAUACGUCCUACGGGAGAAAGCAGGGGACCUUCGGGCCUUGCGCUAUCAGAUGAGCCUAGGUCGGAUUAGUUAGUUGGUGGGGUAAUGGCUCACCAAGGCGACGAUCCGUAACUGGUCUGAGAGGAUGAUCAGUCACACUGGAACUGAGACACGGUCCAGACUCCUACGGGAGGCAGCAGUGGGGAAUAUUGGACAAUGGGCGAAAGCCUGAUCCAGCCAUGCCGCGUGUGUGAAGAAGGUCUUCGGAUUGUAAAGCACUUUAAGUUGGGAGGAAGGGCAGUAAAUUAAUACUUUGCUGUUUUGACGUUACCGACAGAAUAAGCACCGGCUAACUCUGUG
This 484-nucleotide ribosomal RNA is filed under the name uncultured bacterium. Its description in RNAcentral is "partial 16S ribosomal RNA". It matches the Rfam family "Bacterial small subunit ribosomal RNA", at positions 30 to 507 of the family's 1533-position model. The record is from RNAcentral.